This is a long non-coding RNA of Helianthus annuus (common sunflower), 707 nucleotides long. RefSeq lists it as uncharacterized. The record is from RefSeq and is a predicted model, not a curated record. NCBI's taxonomy places the organism in Eukaryota, Viridiplantae, Streptophyta, Magnoliopsida, Asterales, Asteraceae. The transcript has 3 exons.
AAGACGUGAUCCCAACAGUCACGCUUUGUUACCCUAAUUUUUCAUCUCUGCUCCCAAAUUUGCCCUCAUUCAAUGAGGUUUCACUCAAUUCUUACGUAUCUUGGAGUGAUUCAGUUGAUGAUUCACUGAAUAUUUAUGUUUCAAUCGAUUGCAAUUGAUUAGCCCUUGAGUAACUGAAGAUUAAUGAUUCAAUUGAUGAGAGCAUUGAAUCGGCGUUGCUUCCCCUCCCUGUUUGGUGAAAUCCUUCAAUUCAAUGCCAAUGGAAGUGAAUCGUAACCCUAACCCUCUGAUUGACCAUCGUGAUAUAUCCUUUCGCCAAUGGAAGUCAGAUGAAAACUUUUCUGGCUGUCUACAGGUACAACGAACAUUACGCUGAACUUUGGAUGGACGUCAACCACGAGAAAGAGUGUGGGCAGUGACCAAAGGUAUUCGUUUAGGGUUUCCCAAGGAGGAAGAAAGUGGCAUGUUCUUGUUCGGUUCUUGUCCGUGACGCCAUUGCUCGAAUCCAAGAGGCGUUCUGACCAGCUGCGUCCGACAUGGCCCAGAAUUCGACAACCGGGAACAAAGCUACAGAUGAAAAUCAUUUUCGGCCAAAGGUUUAUGCCAGACUCGAAGUUGAUUUCAAUUAGAGGAGAGCAAGGUCAAGGAGGUUAAAGGAGAGGUGACCCCUAAGCAUACUAAACUGUUACACUUUGAGGAAUAAGGCA